GAUCAUUACAGAAUGAAAAGUGCUUAACUGCAUUUUUUCUUACACAUGUGUUUUUCUUUUUUUGAAAACUUUGCUUUGGUAGGCCUUCUAUAUGGGGCCUGCCAGAGAUUAAACUCAACCAAAUUUUAUUUAAUGUCAACCGAUUAUUUAAUAGUCAAAACUUUCAACAACGGAUCUCUUGGUUCUCGCAUCGAUGAAGAACGCAGCGAAAUGCGAUAAGUAAUAUGAAUUGCAGAUAUUCGUGAAUCAUCGAAUCUUUGAACGCACAUUGCGCCCUUUGGUAUUCCAAAGGGCAUGCCUGUUUGAGCGUCAUUUCUCCCUCAAACCCUCGGGUUUGGUGUUGAGCGAUACGCUGGGUUUGCUUGAAAGAAAGGCGGAGUAUAAACUAAUGGAUAGGUUUUUUCCACUCAUUGGNACAAACUCCAAAACUUCUUCCAAAUUCGACCUCAAAUCAGGUAGGACUACCCGCUGAACUUAAGCAUAUCAAUAAGCGGAGGAAAAGAAACCAACAGGGAUUGCCUUAGNAGCGGCGAGUGAAGCGGCAAAAGCUCAAAUUUGAAAUCUGGCACUUUCAGUGUCCGAGUUGUAAUUUGAAGAAGGUAUCUUUGGGUCUGGCUCUUGUCUAUGUUUCUUGGAACAGAACGUCACAGAGGGUGAGAAUCCCGUGCGAUGAGAUGUCCCAGACCUAUGUAAAGUUCCUUCGAAGAGUCGAGUUGUUUG
RNAcentral lists this ribosomal RNA (720 nucleotides) under Lodderomyces parapsilosis. RNAcentral's name for it is "eukaryotic LSU rRNA". The stretch from base 442 to 720 matches the Rfam family "Eukaryotic large subunit ribosomal RNA", at positions 1 to 276 of the family's 3401-position model. The record is from RNAcentral. Lineage: Eukaryota; Fungi; Ascomycota; Pichiomycetes; Serinales; Debaryomycetaceae.